GGGGUCUGAAUACUUUCCGAAUGCACUGUAUGUGUUGUGUUGUUACUUGUUAUUCUUUUACCUGAUGCUUUUGUAGGACUAUAUAUAUAUAUAUAUUUCUCAAAAUUUGCAAUGAAUUUCAAUAGAUUUCAGUUUUGUAUAAAUAAAUUGCUUUAAUAGAAUGACGACGUAAUGACAACAUCAAUAAUAUUUGUACAUUGUUGUUUCUUGUAGAAGAAAGCAGAUACAUCAAAUGUGUAGCUUACAAAGUUUUAGAAACUAUCCAGAAAUGUACAAAAUGGAGAGAGAAAAAAGCUAAACGUGAAAUUAUUUUUUAUAAAAACUACAAAGCAGAGAGGGUCAGUAUAAAAUGACUCCCGUCUAAAUCACCUAUGGAAGAAGAGGCAUGUGGUGAUCAUUCACAUUGCAGAGGGAGCCGAGAGGGACAUUAAACAGGAUACAGAAAAGGGAGAUGCAGAGGGAAAACCUUUGUACAUAAACUAUAGCAUGUGGCAUUUGUUCUAAACAGCUCACAAAUUCUCACUAAGAGUAAAUCUUUAGUUUAAAGCUGGAGAAUUCUUCACAAAAGGAUUUUGCUGACUUUGUACUUGCCGAGUCAUGUAGAUUGUUUUGCUUUGAUAAUUUGGUAGACAAAUGGAAUUAGAAGCAACCAGAGCGUACAAAUGCAAUCCAUAUCAAUAAAAUAAACAAUCCAGUGACUUCAACAAUAGUUUUAUUAUUUAUGAGUAGUAUAAGCGAAAUGUGUGCCAUUAUAUUCUCAUCGAGGAUAUUAGAGCAUGUAGAGUGUUAUUGGCACAUGUACAUUGAGUUGAGGUAAUGUGCUGCUUUCCAGAACUCUAUGCUAAAGUGUUUCCAGGAAUUCUCUUUCCCUCCUUUUUUUGUCCUCUUUCCUCAUCAACUCUGGUUUUGCACAACGCAACACAUAAGGAGUCAAGCUGCAUCCCAGAAGGUGAUACCUAGUCAGUUGCACAACGCAACACAUAAGGAGUCAAGCUGCAUCCCAGAAGGUGAUACCUAGUCAGUUGCACAACGCAACACAUAAGGAGUCAAGCUGCAUCCCAGAAGGUGAUACCUAGUCAGUUGCACAACGCAACACAUAAGGAGUCAAGC
Molecule: long non-coding RNA, 1110 nt
Organism: Oncorhynchus tshawytscha (Chinook salmon)
Lineage: Eukaryota; Metazoa; Chordata; Actinopteri; Salmoniformes; Salmonidae
Source: Ensembl